GGUGGGGGCCGCUGGGCCAGGAGGGCGGAGGCCGUGAACUCCAGGUCGGUGGAUUGCGAGCCUGGAGUGGAUUGCCUGGCCUGGAGGCGACAGGGACCCGCGGCCUCCUUCUCUCCUCCUCUUCCUAGCGUCACCGCCUCUGUUUCUCUCUGGGGGAGAGUGUCUGGGAGAGGGAGAGCCCUGGCCGGGGCAUGGAGGAGCGGGGAGCAGCACCACUAGUCUCAAAAUCCGUUUCUCACCUUGGGUCAGGCCCUGACCCUCUCAGUGUCCCUGGUUUUAAAAUGAGGCUGUGGGACUGAUGGAUUCUCGGAACCCUAAACUCUGAGUGGAUGCUUCUAGGGUAUCUGAGUUGCGGGGAGCAGGGCCCCCAUCCUCAGUACAGCCCUUUCAGCGCCAGUUCCCUGACCUCUUUUCACAUCAGCCUCCCACUCCGGGGCCACACUGGGAACCUUAUCAACAGCAUCUGCACCUCCUUUGAUGUCCCCAGCCACAAUCUCUUCCACUUCCAGCCACUUGAGUCACUUCCGCUGUAUCUGUUUUUCACCAUCUUUGGGUUUCCUGUCCAUUGCUGUCUCCGCUUUCCCCCUCGAUAUCAAUCUGCUUCUUCCCUAUCCUGGCCCAUUACCUCGGCAUUCUCAAAAGGAUCCUCCCUGCCCGAGUCCUACUCUCCUUCCAUCUGAUGAAACCUGAAGCCAAACCAGUCCACCUACACACGGGUAUUGAAGAAGUCUUGGCCAGCCACACACCUUGGUGUAACAGAAACACGAGGUGAAUUGCUCCUCCAUGGGUCGUGAAAGAAGAUCAUGUCAGUGGUGGUGUUUCUGCUCGUCUCAGAAGGGAAGUCUGUGACCCGUGGGAGUUGCUGGGGAGGGCCUGGUCUGGGCCAGGCCUCUUCUUUGGGUUGCCCCCUCACACACUCUGGUCAUCCAGGAAGCCUCUGUGGCCCUCGGAAUGUGUAAAAGAUGGUGGUUUUAGGAGCUGCUGGUUUUGCAACUGAGUGCUGACGGCUUAUUUCUUGUUAAUGAUUCUGUCAAAAGUGUCUUAGCGAUGCUCUUCAGCCCUUCAUCACCCACCCAAAAAAGAUUAAAGUGGAUUCUUCAUCAGCUAUUUUAAAAUCACCUAAGAAUUAUACAAUCCUUUGGAGAAUCAA
Molecule: long non-coding RNA, 1150 nt
Filed under: Homo sapiens (human)
Lineage: Eukaryota; Metazoa; Chordata; Mammalia; Primates; Hominidae
Description: HSALNT0290606
Source: RNAcentral